AUUGAACGCUGGCGGAAUGCUUUACACAUGCAAGUCGAACGGCAGCACGGACUUCGGUCUGGUGGCGAGUGGCGAGCGGGUGAGUAAUGUAUCGGAACGUGCCCAGUCGUGGGGGAUAACGUAGUGAAAAUUACGCUAAUACCGCAUACGAUCUAUGGAUGAAAGCGGGGGAUCGCAAGACCUCGCGCGAUUGGAGCGGCCGAUAUCAGAUUAGGUAGUUGGUGGGGUAAAGGCCCACCAAGCCAACGAUCUGUAGCUGGUCUGAGAGGACGACCAGCCACACUGGAACUGAGACACGGUCCAGACUCCUACGGGGGGCAGCAGUGGGGAAUUUUGGACAAUGGGCGAAAGCCUGAUCCAGCCAUUCCGCGUGCAGGAUGAAGGCCCUCGGGUUGUAAACUGCUUUUGUACAGAACGAAAAGGUUUCUACUAAUACUAGGAGCUCAUGACGGUACUGUAAGAAUAAGCACCGGCUAACUACGUGCCAGCAGCCGCAGUAA
Molecule: ribosomal RNA, 500 nt
Filed under: uncultured bacterium
Lineage: Bacteria
Description: partial 16S ribosomal RNA
Rfam family: Bacterial small subunit ribosomal RNA
Source: RNAcentral